Molecule: ribosomal RNA, 256 nt
Filed under: uncultured bacterium
Lineage: Bacteria
Description: partial 16S ribosomal RNA
Rfam family: Bacterial small subunit ribosomal RNA
Source: RNAcentral
UACGUAGGGUGCGAGCGUUGUCCGGAUUUAUUGGGCGUAAAGAGCGUGUAGGCGGCCAGGUAGGUCUGCUGUGAAAACUCGAGGCUCAACCUCGAGAUGUCGGCGGAAACCAUCUGGCUAGAGUCCGGAAGAGGAGAAUGGAAUUCCCGGGUGUAGCGGUGAAAUGCGCAGAUAUCGGGAAGAACACCCGUAGCGAAGGCGGCACUCGUGGGCCGGAAACUGACGCUGAGGAGCGAAAGCGUGGGGAGCAAACAGG